AUACACAAAAUCUAUAUACAUAUCAGCCAUGAAAGCCAAACUCUUUUAUCUUUUCUUCAUACUUCUCUUCAUUGUUUCUCCCCUCACAUGUGCUCGGAAACUGUCUAGUAAACCUCAGGGAAACAUGGCUGCUAAUGGCGGCGGUAGGGUUUACAAAGGCCCUCUGAAGAAAGGGCCCCUCUGCAAUUCUAAAAAAUUUGGCAACUGUAUUAAUGGCAAACCACCGCGAAAAAGCGAUCCUUACAGUCGCAACUGCCAUGGGACCACAGAGCCAUAAGCCAUCCAAUUAAACCAGAUUGUUGUGUACUAGAUUUCCUACUCUACCUAUGUUCGAUCAUCAUGUUGGAAUAAUUCGGAAAUGACAAUAAAAACCUAUUAAUGUAAUGUUUGUAUGAUACUAUAUCAGUAUAUUGGCAUAUAUUUUUGAACCAUGGAAA
Ipomoea triloba (trilobed morning glory) is the source of this 437-nucleotide long non-coding RNA. RefSeq lists it as uncharacterized. The transcript has 2 exons. The record is from RefSeq and is a predicted model, not a curated record. NCBI's taxonomy places the organism in Eukaryota, Viridiplantae, Streptophyta, Magnoliopsida, Solanales, Convolvulaceae.